AGUGAACGCUGGCGGUAGGCCUAACACAUGCAAGUCGAACGGCAGCACAGUAAGAGCUUGCUCUUACGGGUGGCGAGUGGCGGACGGGUGAGGAAUACAUCGGAAUCUACUUUUUCGUGGGGGAUAACGUAGGGAAACUUACGCUAAUACCGCAUACGACCUACGGGUGAAAGCAGGGGAUCUUCGGACCUUGCGCGAUUGAAUGAGCCGAUGUCGGAUUAGCUAGUUGGCGGGGUAAAGGCCCACCAAGGCGACGAUCCGCAGCUGGUCUGAGAGGAUGAUAAGCCACACUGGAACUGAGACACGGUCCAGACUCCUACGGGAGGCAGCAGUGGGGAAUAUUGGACAAUGGGCGCAAGCCUGAUCCAGCCAUACCGCGUGGGUGAAGAAGGCCUUCGGGUUGUAAAGCCCUUUUGUUGGGAAAGAAAAGCAGCAGGUUAAUACCCCGCUGUUCUGACGGUACCCAAAGAAUAAGCACCGGCUAACUUCGUG
RNAcentral lists this ribosomal RNA (492 nucleotides) under uncultured bacterium. RNAcentral's name for it is "partial 16S ribosomal RNA". It matches the Rfam family "Bacterial small subunit ribosomal RNA", at positions 29 to 507 of the family's 1533-position model. The record is from RNAcentral.